UAUAGUACCGAAGUUCCUGAUUCCACACUGCCAAGAAAAGCCUCUAGCGAGGAAGUGGGUGCCCGUACCGCAAACCGACACAGGUAGUCGAGGAGAGAAUCCUAAGGUGUGCGAGAGAACUCUCGUUAAGGAACUCGGCAAAAUGACCCCGUAACUUCGGGAGAAGGGGUGCUCAUUAAGGGUGUUAAAGCCCUGAAGAGCCGCAGUGAAUAGGCCCAGGCGACUGUUUAGCAAAAACACAGGUCUCUGCAAAGCCGCAAGGCGAAGUAUAGGGGCUGACGCCUGCCCGGUGCUGGAAGGUUAAGAGGAGAGGUUAGCGUAAGCGAAGCUUUGAAUUGAAGCCCCAGUAAACGGCGGCCGUAACUAUAACGGUCCUAAGGUAGCGAAAUUCCUUGUCGGGUAAGUUCCGACCCGCACGAAAGGCGUAACGAUCUGGGCACUGUCUCAACGAGAGACUCGGUGAAAUUAUAGUACCUGUGAAGAUGCAGGUUACCCGCGACAGGACGGAAAGACCCCGUGGAGCUUUACUGUAGCCUGAUAUUGAAUUUUGGUACAGCUUGUACAGGAUAGGUAGGAGCCUUGGAAGCCGGAGCGCCAGCUUCGGUGGAGGCAUCGGUGGGAUACUACCCUGGCUGUAUUGACAUUCUAACCCGCACCCGUAAUCCGGGUGGGAGACAGUGUCAGGUGGGCAGUUUGACUGGGGCGGUCGCCUCCUAAAGAGUAACGGAGGCGCCCAAAGGUUCCCUCAGAAUGGUUGGAAAUCAUUCGUAGAGUGUAAAGGCACAAGGGAGCUUGACUGCGAGACCUACAAGUCGAGCAGGGACGAAAGUCGGGCUUAGUGAUCCGGUGGUUCCGCAUGGAAGGGCCAUCGCUCAACGGAUAAAAGCUACCCCGGGGAUAACAGGCUUAUCUCCCCCAAGAGUCCACAUCGACGGGGAGGUUUGGCACCUCGAUGUCGGCUCAUCGCAUCCUGGGGCUGUAGUCGGUCCCAAGGGUUGGGCUGUUCGCCCAUUAAAGCGGUACGCGAGCUGGGUUCAGAACGUCGUGAGACAGUUCGGUCCCUAUCCGUCGUGGGCGCAGGAAAUUUGAGAGGAGCUGUCCUUAGUACGAGAGGACCGGGAUGGACGCACCGCUGGUGUACCAGUUGUUCUGCCAAGAGCAUCGCUGGGUAGCUAUGUGCGGAAGGGAUAAGUGCUGAAAGCAUCUAAGCAUGAAGCCCCCCUCGAGAUGAGAUUUCCCAUAGCGUUAAGCUAGUAAGACCCCUGAAAGAUGAUCAGGUUGAUAGGUUUGGGGUGGAAGCGUGGUGACACGUGGAGCUGACAAAUACUAAUCGGUCGAGGACUUAACC
RNAcentral lists this ribosomal RNA (1348 nucleotides) under metagenome. RNAcentral describes it as "bacterial LSU rRNA". It matches the Rfam family "Bacterial large subunit ribosomal RNA", at positions 1578 to 2925 of the family's 2925-position model. The record is from RNAcentral.